UACGUAGGGGGCAAGCGUUGUCCGGAUUUAUUGGGCGUAAAGAGGUCGUAGGUGGUUCGGUAAGUCGGAUGUGAAAUCUCCAGGCUCAACCUGGAGGGGUCAUUCGAUACUGCCGUGACUAGAGGUCGGUAGGGGAGUGUGGAAUUCCUGGUGGAGCGGUGAAAUGCGCAGAUAUCAGGAGGAACACCCGUAGCGAAGGCGGCACUCUGGGCCGAUACUGACACUGAGGAGCGAAAGCGUGGGGAGCGAACAGG
This 254-nucleotide ribosomal RNA is filed under the name uncultured bacterium. RNAcentral describes it as "partial 16S ribosomal RNA". It matches the Rfam family "Bacterial small subunit ribosomal RNA", at positions 524 to 776 of the family's 1533-position model. The record is from RNAcentral.